GAUGAACGCUGGCGGCGUGCCUAAUACAUGCAAGUCGAGCGAACGGACGAGAAGCUUGCUUUUCUGAUGUUAGCGGCGGACGGGUGAGUAACACGUGGAUAACCUACCUAUAAGACUGGGAUAACUUCGGGAAACCGGAGCUAAUACCGGAUAAUAUUUUGAACCGCAUGGUUCAAAAGUGAAAGACGGUCUUGCUGUCACUUAUAGAUGGAUCCGCGCUGCAUUAGCUAGUUGGUAAGGUAACGGCUUACCAAGGCAACGAUGCAUAGCCGACCUGAGAGGGUGAUCGGCCACACUGGAACUGAGACACGGUCCAGACUCCUACGGGAGGCAGCAGUAGGGAAUCUUCCGCAAAGGGCGAAAGCCUGACGGAGCAACACCGCGUGAGUGAUGAAGGUCUUCGGAUCGUAAAACUCUGUUAUUAGGGAAGAACAUAUGUGUAAGUAACUGUGCACAUCUUGACGGUACCUAAUCAGAAAGCCACGGCUAACUACGUG
This 497-nucleotide ribosomal RNA is filed under the name uncultured bacterium. RNAcentral's name for it is "partial 16S ribosomal RNA". It matches the Rfam family "Bacterial small subunit ribosomal RNA", at positions 28 to 507 of the family's 1533-position model. The record is from RNAcentral.